UUUAUGGAGAGUUUGAUCCUGGCUCAGGACGAACGCUGGCGGCGUGCCUAACACAUGCAAGUCGAACGGAGUAUCUAAUUAAGUUUACUUAAUUAGAUGCUUAGUGGCGAACGGGUGAGUAACGCGUGGGUAACCUGCCCUUAAGACCGGAACAACAGCUGGAAACGGCUGCUAAUGCCGGAUGCAUUUAUCUGAAGGCAUCUUCGGAUAAAGAAA
RNAcentral lists this ribosomal RNA (216 nucleotides) under Peptococcaceae bacterium. RNAcentral describes it as "partial 16S ribosomal RNA". It matches the Rfam family "Bacterial small subunit ribosomal RNA", at positions 1 to 205 of the family's 1533-position model. Lineage: Bacteria; Bacillati; Bacillota; Clostridia; Eubacteriales; Peptococcaceae. The record is from RNAcentral.